AAAAAAAAAAAAAGGACUUUAAUAUGUUCACCAAUCCCAUCUAUGCUUGUUUAAGUUUCCAAUAGAUCAUACAAAAACUUGAGAACUAUAAAGCAGCUUCUUAUAAAACCUAAAAAGAAAGAACCACACAAAAUUAUGAUCAAAUGAAAAACAAUAGCAAAUAUUGUAAAUUUUGAUGGUUUUGAUACUAUCUGGUAAUAAUUUUACAAUUAACAAAGUUCUAGUGUCGAUCCCCACUAAUAUCAGAGCCCAUUCACAUAUUCUUAACCUGUGCAUGUCACUAACCUGCCAAGUUCUAAGCCA
Molecule: unclassified non-coding RNA, 303 nt
Filed under: Hevea brasiliensis (rubber tree)
Lineage: Eukaryota; Viridiplantae; Streptophyta; Magnoliopsida; Malpighiales; Euphorbiaceae
Source: RNAcentral